GCCGUUACAUCUGCCUCGGCAUGUGUGUCGGAUGUUGACUCGCCUGGAAUAGAAUUUCGUUGUUGCAUGGUCAUCGGGGGAGGAGGAACCGAUGGUCCUCUAGAAGAAGGAGACCCAAAGACUCUCUGAGUGUACUGAGUCUCGGGGACAGUCUCUUGUCCCGAAGAACCGGGAGCUGAUGAAGACGACGGGUCUAAACGAUUACCCGGCUCACCGAACAUCUCUCUGUAAUGGGCAGUAAGUCUACCUUUUCGAACCUGAGAAAAAAAUUUAAUUUUUUUAAUUUUCGUCAACAGUAUAUUUUCCAACAUUAUCCACCUAAUCAACACUAAAUAACAUAAGAUCCGUAAACUUAUUUAAAUUCCCUAUACUAACCACCUAAUCUACCUAAACUAACCAAAUUAAAGAGGAAUUAGAGAGGCUUACUAUUGCAACGAAACAGGGAGGAAG
Molecule: long non-coding RNA, 450 nt
Filed under: Brassica rapa (field mustard)
Lineage: Eukaryota; Viridiplantae; Streptophyta; Magnoliopsida; Brassicales; Brassicaceae
Description: long non-coding RNA (BRAP_LNC002848)
Source: RNAcentral